RNAcentral lists this transfer RNA (87 nucleotides) under Chloroflexota bacterium. Its description in RNAcentral is "Chloroflexi bacterium (cold seep metagenome) tRNA-Leu". It matches the Rfam family "tRNA". From Rfam's summary of the family: Transfer RNA (tRNA) molecules are approximately 80 nucleotides in length. Their secondary structure includes four short double-helical elements and three loops (D, anti-codon, and T loops). The record is from RNAcentral. Lineage: Bacteria; Bacillati; Chloroflexota. RNAcentral also lists the same sequence under 2 other names.
GGGGCGGUGGCGGAAUUGGCAGACGCCGGGGACUUAAAAUCCUCUGAGGGAAACCUCGUGUGGGUUCGACUCCCACUCGCCCCACCA